AAUUCUUGAAAAGGAAUCUCUUGGUGCAAAAACAAAAAUGACAGAUAUAAACGAAAUGAAAAGUUAUAUUAUACCUAGUCCAUAUAUCUUGUAAACCAUUGAAAAUCAUUGUACAUCACCUACGACAGUAAGUCGUGGUUGUGGUGUUAAGCAAAUAUAUACAAGAUUUUAAUUUAAGAACAAAAAGAUGUUUCAAAUUCAAAAACAAAUAAUGGACGCACUUUUUUUUCCUUUGAUUAUUGAUGAUUACGAC
This 253-nucleotide long non-coding RNA is filed under the name Mytilus galloprovincialis (Mediterranean mussel). Lineage: Eukaryota; Metazoa; Mollusca; Bivalvia; Mytilida; Mytilidae. The record is from RNAcentral.